RNAcentral lists this ribosomal RNA (484 nucleotides) under uncultured bacterium. RNAcentral describes it as "partial 16S ribosomal RNA". It matches the Rfam family "Bacterial small subunit ribosomal RNA", at positions 30 to 507 of the family's 1533-position model. The record is from RNAcentral.
AUUGAACGCUGGCGGCAGGCCUAACACAUGCAAGUCGAGCGGAUGAAGGGAGCUUGCUCCUGGAUUCAGCGGCGGACGGGUGAGUAAUGCCUAGGAAUCUGCCUGGUAGUGGGGGAUAACGUCCGGAAACGGGCGCUAAUACCGCAUACGUCCUGAGGGAGAAAGUGGGGGAUCUUCGGACCUCACGCUAUCAGAUGAGCCUAGGUCGGAUUAGCUAGUUGGUGGGGUAAGGGCCUACCAAGGCGACGAUCCGCAACUGGUCUGAGAGGAUGAUCAGUCACACUGGAACUGAGACACGGUCCAGACUCCUACGGGAGGCAGCAGUGGGGAAUAUUGGACAAUGGGCGAAAGCCUGAUCCAGCCAUGCCGCGUGUGUGAAGAAGGUCUUCGGAUUGUAAAGCACUUUAAGUUGGGAGGAAGGGCAGUAAGUUAAUACCUUGCUGUUUUGACGUUACCAACAGAAUAAGCACCGGCUAACUUCGUG